Haliotis rufescens (red abalone) is the source of this 1779-nucleotide long non-coding RNA. RefSeq lists it as uncharacterized. NCBI's taxonomy places the organism in Eukaryota, Metazoa, Mollusca, Gastropoda, Lepetellida, Haliotidae. The transcript is spliced from 2 exons. The record is from RefSeq and is a predicted model, not a curated record.
UGUUCAUUUCAAUCGUUCAAAUGUCUGUUUCACCCUUUAUACAAUCAACAUCGAUUUUGUCGACACGCGUAAAACUCGACCCCGCCACCCUAAUGCAAUCAGGUUGGUUUGAGCGCUUGUCCCGAGUCGUGUUGGGACAGGCUUCAUCUAGGGUAUAUAAGGAACUAGCGUUACUAAGCGAUCACACUCACAAUACCUUCUUGGAGGGCUCUUCGAGAGUGCUGAAGACGCAGGUGUACGCACCCCUCCCCUUAUGGGGUUAGGGCAUCGUACGCGCUGGACCAGACUCGAGGGAGAGUCCACAUCCAAGAUGGCGGUGGGUGUCACGUGACCAUGUAGGUCACCCCCAAACGUCCAUCAUGCUACACAACUGCCAAACAUCAACGACGAUCACGUACAUGGUAACGUCCUACUCACGUCAUAGCUGAAUGUCUCAACGUCUCCUUGUUGCUAUGGCAACGGCGACACCUCCAUCGUAUCAAUGAAGUCCACACGUCAUCGACUCCUGUCUCUCGAAGUCAAAGGUCAGAAGGUCAUCACCAAACCUCAACCCGUUCCUGCGAUUCGAUGUCACUCCAUCAAUUUGAAGUCAGAGGUCAAGGUCCACCAAAUGACCUUGACAUAUUCCUGCUCUCCGAUGUCAAGUUAUGUUUCAGAACUGUAAAGAUGCGUUUUGUGAAUGUUAACGAUGUCCACGCUUCAAUGGUCACGGCAGAGCUCAAGGUCAUCGUUGAAGUUGAAGGUCACGAGUCUCAUACAAAAUGGUCACACCUGCAAAGAUAGAAACUCGUGGUGAAAGCGAAACCAUCACAUCCACUGGCGAAUACGUUUUACGGUAUUAAAACAUUUAUGGACAACUGUCAUCAUGACGUCAUUGAAGUUAAAUUUCGUCUUUGAAAUUAAAUUAACUGUCUGCUGUUUAAACGAAAAAGGCCAAUUUAAAACACCUAAAAUCUCCAAACUAUGAGAGAAACGAUAUUAAUGUAUCACCACUCAUCUUACUUGAUACAUUUCAAUUCAAGCAUAACUAACAGUCGUUACACCCAAGCUGCUGAAUAUCACCCAGAACUUGUCAAUUUCAUACAGAUGCUUGUCAAUUUCAAAGUAUUGUAAACCGAUCCAGUAUUUCCACAGCCGGUUGUCCAUGAACAUCUUGUAGGAACAUUGUUGAUUUCAUCCAUUGUACAUUCCAUGUCACCAUGUAUGUGAUCUGAUAUAUAUAUCUACUAACACUUUAUUUACUAACAUACGAAGCGCCGUGCCAACGGCCAAAUUCCUUAUCCAAACCGUCCAAAACUGUACAUAAAUGCAUAUAUUCAAAUAUUUAUUGUAGGUAUUGGAUAAUAUGUUAUCACAUGAUACAGGGAACAGACAAUCAAAAUGGAAUGGAAGCAUCUCCGGAGCAAUCUAUUUGAGAACAAAAAACCAUUUACGUUUAGAAAUUCUGUUAAAAAAUGUUUUUUAAAUUUUAUUUUCACAUUUAUUAUUUUAAUUUAACCCUAAGGAAAAAUGUUAAUUGUGGUUGACAGUUUCUCGUAUCAUGUGACCGAGUCAUAUGUCCUGUACAUAGCUUGUGUAUAUAUGCUUGUAAAUAUGCUUAUAAAUUAAUAUAUAUUUUUGUACGUUUAUUUUUUGUAUUAUCAGAUCUGUAAGUUAUUUAUACUUUUUGGCUGUAUGUGGAAAAGUUCGUCAUUGAUACUCUCCGCUGUCAUAUAUGCUGUUGACUGUGAUAUUUGUAAAAUAUGUAUUUUAUUAAUAAAAGUGUGAAUAGAGAGAAAA